This 551-nucleotide ribosomal RNA is filed under the name uncultured bacterium. RNAcentral describes it as "partial 16S ribosomal RNA". It matches the Rfam family "Bacterial small subunit ribosomal RNA", at positions 356 to 900 of the family's 1533-position model. The record is from RNAcentral.
AGGGAAUCUUCCACAAUGGACGCAAGUCUGAUGGAGCAACGGCCGCGUGAGUGAAGAAGGUUUUCGGACCGUAAAGCUCUGUUGUUGGUGAAGAAGGAUAGAGGUAGUAACUGGCCUUUAUUUGACGGUAAUCAACCAGAAAGUCACGGCUAACUACGUGCCAGCAGCCGCGGUAAUCUAGGUGGCAAGCGUUGUCCGGAUUUAUUGGGCGUAAAGCGAGCGCAGGCGGAAGAAUAAGUCUGAUGUGAAAGCCCUCGGCUUAACCGAGGAAUUGCAUCGGAAACUGUUUUCUUGAGUGCAGAAGAGGAGAGUAGAACUCCAUGUGUAGCGGUGGAAUGCGUAGAUAUAUGGAAGAAUACCAGUGGCGAAGGCGGCUCUCUGGUCUGCAACUGACGCUGAGGCUCGAAAGCAUGGGUAGCGAACAGGAUUAGAUACCCUGGUGUCCAUGCCGUAAACGAUGAGUGCUAAGUGUUGGGAGGCUUCCGCCUCUCAGUGCUGCAGCUAACGCAUUAAGCACUCCGCCUGGGGGAGUACGACCGCAAGGUUGAAAC